CCUACGGGCGGCAGCAGUGAGGAAUAUUGGUCAAUGGACGAGAGUCUGAACCAGCCAAGUAGCGUGAAGGAUGACUGCCCUAUGGGUUGUAAACUUCUUUUAUAUGGGAAUAAAAUGUUCCACGUGUGGGAUUUUGUAUGUACCAUAUGAAUAAGGAUCGGCUAACUCCGUGCCAGCAGCCGCGGUAAUACGGAGGAUCCGAGCGUUAUCCGGAUUUAUUGGGUUUAAAGGGAGCGUAGGUGGAUUGUUAAGUCAGUUGUGAAAGUUUGCGGCUCAACCGUAAAAUUGCAGUUGAAACUAGCAGUCUUGAGUACAGUAGAGGUGGGCGGAAUUCGUGGUGUAGCGGUGAAAUGCUUAGAUAUCACGAAGAACUCCGAUUGCGAAGGCAGUUCACUGGACUGCAACUGACACUGAGGCUCGAAAGUGUGGGUAUCAAACAGGAUUAGAUACCCUUGUAGUC
RNAcentral lists this ribosomal RNA (460 nucleotides) under uncultured bacterium. RNAcentral's name for it is "partial 16S ribosomal RNA". It matches the Rfam family "Bacterial small subunit ribosomal RNA", at positions 338 to 795 of the family's 1533-position model. The record is from RNAcentral.